GGAUCCAGACUUUGAUCAUGGCUCAGGACGAACGCUGGCGGCGCGCCUAACACAUGCAAGUCGAACGAGCGAGAGAGAGCUUGCUUUCUCGAGCGAGUGGCGAACGGGUGAGUAACGCGUGAGGAACCUGCCUCAAAGAGGGGGACAACAGUUGGAAACGACUGCUAAUACCGCAUAAGCCCACGGUGCCGCAUGGCACAGAGGGAAAAGGAGCAAUCCGCUUUGAGAUGGCCUCGCGUCCGAUUAGCUAGUUGGUGAGGUAAUGGCCCACCAAGGCAACGAUCGGUAGCCGGACUGAGAGGUUGAACGGCCACAUUGGGACUGAGACACGGCCCAGACUCCUACGGGAGGCAGCAGUGGGGAAUAUUGCACAAUGGGGGAAACCCUGAUGCAGCGACGCCGCGUGGAGGAAGAAGGUCCUCGGAUUGUAAACUCCUGUUGUUGGGGAAGAUAAUGACGGUACCCAACAAGGAAGUGACGGCUAACUACGUGCCAGCAGCCGCGGUAAAACGUAGGUCACAAGCGUUGUCCGGAAUUACUGGGUGUAAAGGGAGCGCAGGCGGGAAGACAAGUUGGAAGUGAAAUCUAUGGGCUCAACCCAUAAACUGCUUUCAAAACUGUUUUUCUUGAGUAGUGCAGAGGUAGGCGGAAUUCCCGGUGCAGCGGUGGAAUGCGUAGAUAUCGGGAGGAACACCAGUGGCGAAGGCGGCCUACUGGGCACCAACUGACGCUGAGGCUCGAAAGUGUGGGUAGCAAACAGGAUUAGAUACCCUGGUAGUCCACACCGUAAACGAUGAUUACUAGGUGUUGGAGGAUUGACCCCUUCAGUGCCGCAGUUAACACAAUAAGUAAUCCACCUGGGGAGUACGACCGCAAGGUUGCAACUCAAAUGAAUUGACGG
RNAcentral lists this ribosomal RNA (901 nucleotides) under uncultured Bacillota bacterium. RNAcentral describes it as "bacterial SSU rRNA". It matches the Rfam family "Bacterial small subunit ribosomal RNA", at positions 1 to 916 of the family's 1533-position model. The record is from RNAcentral. Lineage: Bacteria; Bacillati; Bacillota.